GAUGAGCUGUGUGGGGGUAGAUAGCUAGAGAGAUGGACAGACAGACAGAUCAAUGAUUCUGGAGGGUUUCUGUCAGCACCCCCUUGUGACUCUGUUUCUCCCUGAAGCCUGGAUGCUCCCCAGUGCCCCCACAGUGACACUUCACAUCCUGCCCCCCUGCCCAAGCCCAGGAGCAAGUGACACUGUCACCUUGCUCUGUUCCACCAGCGGCUACUACCCCGGGGGCCUGCAGCUGACCUGGCAGGCAGGUGGGAAGGAGAGAGAGGGCACCCAGCUCAGACUCCUCCAGGGGAAAGAUGGAAGAUUCAGCUCCUUCAGCAACCUGACGAUGUCCCAGGCAGAGUGGGACGAGCCGGGGGAGUACAGCUGCCAUGUGACCCACCCUUGGACCGGUAGCCCCCAGCUCAGUACUAUCAGCAAGUGUGCAGCCUGUCAGGGGAGCAUCCCCCUGCCCAACCUGUAGCUCCUCAAGCCAUCCCUGCAAGCCUUGCUCACUCGAGGCAAAGCCCUCCUGACUUGCCUGGCAGUGGGCUAUGACCUGGGCCAAGCAAAACUCACCAGGGAGCUGGACAGUGCCAUCUGGACUGCAAGUGCACCGUGGGAGAAGCCAAAAAACACAGCAACCAUACCCAGAGUCUCCUGAGCCACCUAGCCAUCCCCAGGGAAACCUGGGCCUCUGGGAGCAGCAUUCUCUGUAGAGUGACUCAUCCCUGCUCGCUGUUCCAGGGCAUGGAGAAGACCAUCCAGAAGCUCAGGGGUGAGAGAAGGAGAAGAGACUCAAACAAUAAUCAGUGACUUUGCCUAAUGCUUUAUAGGGGGUAGGGACCUGGACACCUCCCA
Gopherus evgoodei (Goodes thornscrub tortoise) is the source of this 840-nucleotide non-coding RNA. The record is from the annotation of a RefSeq genome assembly. Lineage: Eukaryota; Metazoa; Chordata; Testudines; Testudinidae.